This 547-nucleotide ribosomal RNA is filed under the name uncultured bacterium. RNAcentral's name for it is "partial 16S ribosomal RNA". It matches the Rfam family "Bacterial small subunit ribosomal RNA", at positions 355 to 895 of the family's 1533-position model. The record is from RNAcentral.
UGGGGAAUUUUGGACAAUGGGGGAAACCCUGAUCCAGCCAUCCCGCGUGUGCGAUGAAGGCCUUCGGGUUGUAAAGCACUUUUGGUAGGAAAGAAACGUCGCGGGUUAAUACCCCGCGAAACUGACGGUACCUGCAGAAUAAGCACCGGCUAACUACGUGCCAGCAGCCGCGGUAAUACGUAGGGUGCAAGCGUUAAUCGGAAUUACUGGGCGUAAAGCGUGCGCAGGCGGUUCGGAAAGAAAGAUGUGAAAUCCCAGAGCUUAACUUUGGAACUGCAUUUUUAACUACCGGGCUAGAGUGUGUCAGAGGGAGGUGGAAUUCCGCGUGUAGCAGUGAAAUGCGUAGAUAUGCGGAGGAACACCGAUGGCGAAGGCAGCCUCCUGGGAUAACACUGACGCUCAUGCACGAAAGCGUGGGGAGCAAACAGGAUUAGAUACCCUGGUAGUCCACGCCCUAAACGAUGUCAACUAGCUGUUGGGGCCUUCGGGCCUUGGUAGCGCAGCUAACGCGUGAAGUUGACCGCCUGGGGAGUACGGUCGCAAGAUU